UACGGGGGGGUAAGCGUUGUUCGGAAUUACUGGGCGUAAAGGGCUCGUAGGCGGCCAACUAAGUCAUACGUGAAAUCCCUCAGCUUAACCGGGGAACUGCGUGUGAUACUGGAUGGCUUGGAUUUGGGAGAGGGAUGCGGAAUUCCAGGUGUAGCGGUGAAAUGCGUAGAUAUCUGGAGGAACACCGGUGGCGAAGGCGGCAUCCUGGACCGGCAUUGACGCUGAGGCGCGAAAGCCAGGGGAGCAAACGGG
RNAcentral lists this ribosomal RNA (252 nucleotides) under uncultured bacterium. Its description in RNAcentral is "partial 16S ribosomal RNA". It matches the Rfam family "Bacterial small subunit ribosomal RNA", at positions 524 to 776 of the family's 1533-position model. The record is from RNAcentral.